Molecule: ribosomal RNA, 502 nt
Filed under: uncultured Glomus
Lineage: Eukaryota; Fungi; Glomeromycota; Glomeromycetes; Glomerales; Glomeraceae
Description: SSU rRNA
Rfam family: Eukaryotic small subunit ribosomal RNA
Source: RNAcentral
AGCAGCCGCGGUAAUUCCAGCUCCAAUAGCGUAUAUUAAAGUUGUUGCAGUUAAAAAGCUCGUAGUUGAAUUUCGGGGUCAGCAAGUUGGUCGUGCCACUGGUAUGCACUGGCUUUACUGAUUCCUCCUUCUUGAAGAACUGUAAUGCUAUUAAUUUAGUGUUGCAGGGAAACAGGACUGUUACUUUGAAAAAUUAGAGUGUUUAAAGCAGGCUAACGCUUGAAUACAUUAGCAUGGAAUAAUGAAAUAGGACGUUUGAUCCUAUUUUGUUGGUUUCUAGGAUUGACGUAAUGAUUAAUAGGGAUAGUUGGGGGCAUUAGUAUUCAAUUGUCAGAGGUGAAAUUCUUGGAUUUAUUGAAGACUAACUACUGCGAAAGCAUUUGCCAAGGAUGUUUUCAUUAAUCAAGAACGAAAGUUAGGGGAUCGAAGACGAUCAGAUACCGUCGUAGUCUUAACCAUAAACUAUGCCGACUAGGGAUCGGAUGAUGUUAAUUUUUAAUGA